CAACCCGGCAACGCUACUGCUCCGGUCGUGGCAUCCCACCAUCGCCCCCACAUCAGAGGUCCAUAUAGGUCUGCACGGGUUGAGCUACUCUCUCUAGAUUUGGUUUAGAUUCCGGUCCUCUCCUACCACCUUUGGUUGUUCCUUCAGAUCUAGUCCUCUCCUACCACCUGUGGCACAUAUAGACAUCUAAUUUGGUUGUUCCUGUGUUGAUUCCGUGUUUUGUGGGGGUGGUUUCCCGGUGGUUCUGAUAAUACCAAGGAAGGAAGGUUCAUACAGGAUGCAGCCCAGGUGUUUCAUAGAAUUCCGAGAAGUGGCGUAAGUGGUGGGCUGCAAGUAUUCUAAAUUAGAUAAUGAUCACUGGAUAUUGAAUGCAGACUGCAUUCUCAAGUACUACAGUUUGUGGAAUUGCUAUUUCUGAAGCAAAUUCAUAGCCGUGAGCACCUUACAAACUCAUCCUUUUGCAUUACAUCAGUUCAAGUUCAGCCAACUUAGUUAAUGACCUUCAGUGUAGUUAACUAAAAGUCAUCUUGAGGUGCCAUUCAUUUAAAGUUCUCAGUCGGACUUCUGUGUAGUGUUUAUAUUUUUAUUAUAAUGCCAAUACUUGAUGGAUGCAUAUGAACUGUAUGUAUAAAUAAUGUUGUGGUUAUUUAUAUGUAAUUAUCAUACAAAUUGAAUUGAGGAUGCAGCUGACGUUGUAAUUAAGGUUGAGUCUGCUUUUGUAAUUUUUUUAGCCAUCUUUAGUUAGUUUCCUGAUGGUUAUACCGUCAGAAAUUGGCUAGUGUUUUAGUACUGUCACAAAAAGAUUCCUAACGGUAAUCCAACAGGAAAAGACAAUCUUUCCAGUCGAGGCGUUCUUGUCGGCUGGACGUCAAAAAUCUAUUUCCUAACGGUUUUAGGCCCUUUCUUGACGGUUUAUGGCCUUCAGGAUUUUUCUGCUCUGUGGUAGUCAUAGAGUAUGUCCAUAUGUAGCAAACAUACAUUCUUUUCUCCCAAUUUUAACAAAUAUCUAGUUCUAAUUACUUUUUUAAGUCAUUGGUGAAGACAUAGCGGUUUGCGUUUCAAUUUAGUAUACUAAUAGCGAGCUAAAUGACGCUAUAUAUAGCGGGAUAUAGCCACACAACUUUAAUGAAUAUAGCCACACAACUUUAAUGAAGACAAACAACAUGUCCUGUAUCGAUCAAGUAUACUUAUAGCAGGGUUCUGGAUAGCUAAUU
This is a long non-coding RNA of Sorghum bicolor (sorghum), 1214 nucleotides long. RefSeq lists it as uncharacterized. The record is from RefSeq and is a predicted model, not a curated record. The transcript is spliced from 3 exons. NCBI's taxonomy places the organism in Eukaryota, Viridiplantae, Streptophyta, Magnoliopsida, Poales, Poaceae.